AUUGAACGCUGGCGGCAGGCCUAACACAUGCAAGUCGAACGGUAACAGGAAGAAGCUUGCUUCUUUGCUGACGAGUGGCGGACGGGUAAGUAAUGUCUGGGAAACUGCCUGAUGGAGGGGGAUAACUACUGGAAACGGUAGCUAAUACCGCAUAACGUCGCAAGACCAAAGAGGGGGACCUUCGGGCCUCUUGCCAUCGGAUGUGCCCAGAUGGGAUUAGCUAGUAGGUGGGGUAACGGCUCACCUAGGCGACGAUCCCUAGCUGGUCUGAGAGGAUGACCAGCCAACCUGGAAUUGAGAACCGGCCCAGACCCCUAGGGGGGGAAGCGGGGGGGAAUUUGGAAAAAGGGGGGAAAGCCUGAUGCAGCCAUGCCGGGGGGAGGAAGAAGCCUUUCGGGUUGAAAAGUAUUUUCCGGGGGGAGGAAGGGAGUAAAGUUAAAACCUUUGCCCAUGGCCGUUACCGGAAAAAGAAGCCCCGGCUAACUCCGU
This 489-nucleotide ribosomal RNA is filed under the name uncultured bacterium. RNAcentral's name for it is "partial 16S ribosomal RNA". It matches the Rfam family "Bacterial small subunit ribosomal RNA", at positions 29 to 506 of the family's 1533-position model. The record is from RNAcentral.